This 1539-nucleotide long non-coding RNA is filed under the name Pongo abelii (Sumatran orangutan). RNAcentral describes it as "lncRNA (ENSPPYG00000038131.1)". Lineage: Eukaryota; Metazoa; Chordata; Mammalia; Primates; Hominidae. The record is from RNAcentral.
UUUUGCCACUGGGGAAUUCAAGUUGAAAUGUCCCUCAAUCAUAUAGGUCUGGAAUACAUCUUUCAUUCGUAAUUUCUGCUCAGAUAAUUGAAUAGUUUGCCAUCUAGAUUAUUUUCAUUUAUACUAUAAAACAAAAGCAAACUAGUCCAGUUUAAUUUUUUAUACUUAGAAUAUUGCACAUUUUCUAUAUAUGAGUCAUUCAGAUUAGUAUCUAUGUAGGUUCAGUCAGCUCCAACCAUGGAUUCGAGGUAUUAUACUGUAUAACCCUACAAAAUACACAGAAGUAUUAUUUGCCUUUAUAAUAGAACCCAAGAGUCUGUUUCAAUUUAUGAAUUCAGUAUUUGCACAGAGAUUUUGAUUCCCAAAGUUUGGAAAAACAUGACAAAACAACGAGGGAAGAAGGAACCAGGCCUUAGUGCCACAUAUUUUUCUCUUGGGGUUGUAAGGUAGUCUCCUGCUUUCCAGAACUUUAUUAUAUUUCACUUACAGACCUGAUUUUCUGUGUCAAAGUAUAAUUCUCAUGCUGAAGCUGUAGCCUAAAAAGCCAAAAGAAAGUUGUCUUCAUUGUACAAACAUAUUCAUCACUUUAACAAAAUAAGGGAACAAAAUUUAGUAUUCAAGCUGAGUGAGAAUACUGUUUCAAUGAGCAUGUCCCUAAGAUAAGCCAGAAUUGGCAGUUAAUUUAGGCGUCUAGAAAAUCUCAGUUCCCACCAGUAAAAUUAUCCUGAGUGGCUAAUGCACCUUGAGAAAAAUCUGGCAUACUGAAUAAAUAACAUUAACUUGGGAGCCAAGAGCUGGGUAAGCCUUACCUUUAGACUACUCUGUGACUACAGAAAUAAAGCCAGCACUUUUGGAACUAGUAAACCUUCACUUGUCAGUAUCAUAAAGAGUAUUGCCCAACUGAACUUUGCUCCCACUGGUUCAGUAGUUACUUAUUUCUGCCUAAGCACUCACCUUCCGAUUUUACCCAAGUAUAUAGGAUAGAAAAAAGUGCAUUAUAUUUGAGAGCUACUUCACCCAAAUUACAAAAUGAGUCAGUGUUUUUAGAUUCAAGUGAUAGUAAAAGGAUUUGUUCCCUUCAGUGACUUGAGUGUUUUAGUUAUGCAUAAGUAUUUCUAGCAAAGGAAGGGUAGAAAGGAAUUGAAGAUUAAUUUACACUAUUUGCUACUUGGGAAUAAAGGGCUUUUUGAAGGGGGUAUGGAUAUUAAAUGUUUUUGUUAUAUACUUAUCCCUAUUAAAACAGGCAGUUGUUUCUUUGAAUAUGCCUAAAUAACAGUAUUCUUAAAAUCUGACAAGUAACAUGUCAAUUACUUGAUAUUCCUUGUCUCCAGUACCACAGGCCACUCUUGACAUCCCAUGUUUGCCUGGAUAAAGUUCCUCAUUUCAAACAGUAUACAUACUUCUUUGCAGUUCAUUAUAGUAAGGCUUAACCUGUAAACAAUAUCUGAUGGCCCACCUAUAAAUAAAAUUCAGCAUUCUAUUUUUAAUAAUUUGUAUGCCACCAAUUUGUAUUAUUUGUCUCAAUAAAUACUUAGUCAU